This 397-nucleotide ribosomal RNA is filed under the name uncultured bacterium. Its description in RNAcentral is "bacterial SSU rRNA". It matches the Rfam family "Bacterial small subunit ribosomal RNA", at positions 1 to 407 of the family's 1533-position model. The record is from RNAcentral.
UAAAGUUUGAUCAUGGCUCAGACUGAGCGGUNGCGGCAGGCUUAACACAUGCAAGUCGAGCGGGGAAGGGUAGCUUGCUACCUGACCUAGCGGCGGACGGGUGAGUAAUGCUUAGGAAUCUGCCUAUUAGUGGGGGACAACAUCUCGAAAGGGAUGCUAAUACCGCAUACGUCCUACGGGAGAAAGCAGGGGAUCUUCGGACCUUGCGCUAAUAGAUGAGCCUAAGUCGGAUUAGCUAGUUGGUGGGGUAAAGGCCUACCAAGGCGACGAUCUGUAGCGGGUCUGAGAGGAUGAUCCGCCACACUGGGACUGAGACACGGCCCAGACUCCUACGGGAGGCAGCAGUGGGGAAUAUUGGACAAUGGGGGGAACCCUGAUCCAGCCAUGCCGGUGUGUG